RNAcentral lists this unclassified non-coding RNA (692 nucleotides) under Hevea brasiliensis (rubber tree). The record is from RNAcentral. Lineage: Eukaryota; Viridiplantae; Streptophyta; Magnoliopsida; Malpighiales; Euphorbiaceae.
AAAAUUCACAGCAAACACGGUUAUGGGCUUGUUCUAAAUCAAUAUGAUGGCCAUGUCCCUUGACUACCAGUUUGCUUCUACAUAUAAAUCAAACAUUUCAGUCAGAGGAAAACUUUUCCCUCUUUUCCAGUCGUCCUUAUUUCGUUCGAUCAUCAGCCAUUCCCAGCUCUUCGGGGUUAGGGAUGGCGUUUUAACAGCUGGGAGGUGGAUUUAUCUUAUCUUCUUUCUGGAUUUGGGUGUGUAUAAUUUUGGAGUGUCUCUGUUGUUGUGGGUUUGUAAAUAUAGGCCGUUAUUCCUAGAGAGAGGUCGAAAUGAUCAUAUUUGCAUCAAGUUCGUUGUUUUCUCUUGCAUCCUCCCAAGUGGCUAGUAAUCUUGGUGGACGUGGGACAACUUGAUCUCUAGUUUUCAUCUAGGCUAAAAAGGAGAAUGAAAUGCCGAGCUCUACAAUGCCUGUUCCGGGCUCGUCUGGCAUCUCCUUGGUCCUUGGUUUCCAUGGCUGACAUGAUUUACUUCGGACAAUGCAAGUUUAUGGUUCAUUGGUUAGGGAUCUUGGUUUUUAUGAUUGAGUGGUUUUGUAUGCCAAAUGCUUGGCACAAAUCCCUUGUGUUUGUGUUUUCCGUAAGGUCUGUGCCUUCCUGAUGGUAGCCGAUGGAGCUCUUUGUAGGUGCUGAUGGUUGUGUCUGGUAUUGUUU